RNAcentral lists this non-coding RNA (29 nucleotides) under Mus musculus (house mouse). The record is from RNAcentral. Lineage: Eukaryota; Metazoa; Chordata; Mammalia; Rodentia; Muridae.
UCAGAGCAAUCAUCAAUCUGGAGGAUGCC